Molecule: long non-coding RNA, 1582 nt
Organism: Wyeomyia smithii (pitcher-plant mosquito)
Lineage: Eukaryota; Metazoa; Arthropoda; Insecta; Diptera; Culicidae
Exons: 4
Source: RefSeq, a predicted model, not a curated record
AAUUUGACAAGACUCGGUAUCGGUGGUGAAUACAAGAUCCAAGUAGGUGCUGUUUGCGUUCGGCAAAUCGCAAAUUUGCAUCAGUCCAGCUGACAGCAAACCAUCAACAAUGGCAGCUUCACUCUGAGAAGUUAUUCGAUCAGUUUGGCAGGUUGAAAUUCCCACAAACGACGACCGUAUCAUUCGGACCAGCGGCUUCAACCAUGGACUCAACAAAAACGACGAACGAAUCGUAACGACGAGUGUUAGAGCUCGGGCAAACUCCGUACUGGCAAUUUGACGAUGGAUGGCGACAAGUGCACCACCACCAGUUAGUUUGUCAUUGUUGACCGAACUUCGAUCGCAGCGGUAAACGGAAAAACAAGCGGGAAACAACAUACCAUCCUGUACGUCAGAGUCCAACUUCAUUAUUCGUUACAGAAAUCUCGCCCUGAACGUUAUCAUUAUUACAAAGCAACGGUCGGUCGGUUAGGAGCUGCGAGUGGCGUGGUGACACAACCGUGAAACUGAAAGGGUUCAAUUUGCGGCGGAUGAUCUCGAGCAAUUAUGCUUCCCCGAUCGACACCCACGAACUCUCGAAAACAAAUUCCCUUCUGCCAGCUCGCUGGUUGCAUUGCUUUUUCCUUCCAUUUCAAUCCCAAACCCACUUUGAACGAUACAAAUGAAAGCUGUUUGAGAUCAACACCCCUUUUGACCAACUUUAUGACUUCGACAGGCUCAUCUAUGUCGAGAUUCCGCUGUACCAGUUUCGAGAUUUCCUCCACAGUGGCGUGUGGAGAGAAUCUUGACAGGAAUAGCCAGAAUUUAGGCCCUCUAGGGACGACUUGCACAACUGGAAUAGGCAAAGCGGGGUCUGGCUCCUUGCUACCACAAAGCGUACGAGCCGCAUCCUCAUCGGUUUGUGGCAAAUCGAUUUGGAUACGCGGUCACUUUGUUGACCUAGGUGGAAUUCUAGGCCAUGGUGAGCGAUUAACAAAACCCUGCUGUUGAUGCUUCCCGACCAUUUCGGUUAUUUUUUCUGCAUUUUUUCGAAUCUCACCUCUCAAUUCUUCAAGCACUUGGCUAUGUUGGCUCAUAAUCUCCUGUAACAGAUCGUUCGAUGAGCCCAACGCGUUGCGAAAGUGAGUGCAUCCAGUAGAUCAUCGAGUUUGACCUGAUUUCUGUCCACAAAUCAGCGGUAAGGAGCGAACAUUGCAAGUGAAACGAUGACUUGCAAAAUCCCUUACAGCACACGAGAUCAUUCUCGUCGGUGAUUGGAGUCUGGCAGCCAUGGCAACACUCUUCCAUCUUCUCCGUAGUUCACUAUCGAAUUCGAUGUCUUUAGGAAAUAAAAACUACGAUACUUCACGAUACACAGGUGUAUACAGAGUCCAAUGAGUCACAGAACACACAACUAUAAUUUAAAAAACUCAGAAACACAUAAAAAUUGAACCUUAAAAACAUCUAGUGAUCACACAACGAUAAGCUUUGUUUACAAACACAAAAAUUCAUGUUUAUCAUCUUUUCUGCAUGAAAAACAACUAGAUAAUACCUCUAUUUUCUUAUAAUAAUAGAAAUAAAUCAUCGUUUCAGUUUCCUUUAA